CACCAGGCGCGAAACCUCUGCAAUAGGCGAAAGCUUGACAGGGUUACUCUGAGUGAUUUCCGUUAAGGAGAUCUUUUGGCACCUCUAAAAAUGGUGCAGAAUAAGGGGUGGGCAAGUCUGGUGUCAGCCGCCGCGGUAAUACCAGCACCCCGAGUGGUCGGGACGUUUAUUGGGCCUAAAGCAUCCGUAGCCGGUUCUACGAGUCUUCCGUUAAAUCCAACUGCUUAACAGGUGGGCUGCGGAAGAUACUAUAGAGCUAGGAGGCGGGAGAGGCAAGCGGUACUCGAUGGGUAGGGGUAAAAUCCGUUGAUCCAUUGAAGACCACCAGUGGCGAAGGCGGCUUGCCAGAACGCGCUCGACGGUGAGGGAUGAAAGCUGGGGGAGCAAACCGGAUUAGAUACCCGGGUAGUCCCAGCUGUAAACGAUGCAGACUCGGUGAUGAGUUGGCUAUAUGCCAUCUCAGUGCCGCAGGGAAGCCGUUAAGUUUGCCGCCUGGGGAGUACGGUCGCAAGACUGAAACUUAAAGGAAUCGGCGGGGGAGCACAAGGGCAAUUCGCG
RNAcentral lists this ribosomal RNA (558 nucleotides) under uncultured archaeon. RNAcentral's name for it is "bacterial SSU rRNA". It matches the Rfam family "Archaeal small subunit ribosomal RNA", at positions 333 to 899 of the family's 1478-position model. The record is from RNAcentral.